ACGGAGGAUGCAAGCGUUAUCCGGAAUUAUUGGGCGUAAAGAGUCCGUAGGUGGAAGUUCAAGUCUGCUGUUAAAGAAUGGAGCUUAACUCCAUAGAGGCGGUGGAAACUGAGCAACUAGAGUGCGGUAGGGGUAACGGGAAUUCCCAGUGUAGCGGUGAAAUGCGUAGAUAUUGGGAAGAACAUCGGUGGCGAAAGCGCGUUACUGGGCCGAAACUGACACUGAGGGACGAAAGCUAGGGUAGCGAAAGGG
This 252-nucleotide ribosomal RNA is filed under the name uncultured bacterium. RNAcentral's name for it is "partial 16S ribosomal RNA". It matches the Rfam family "Bacterial small subunit ribosomal RNA", at positions 525 to 776 of the family's 1533-position model. The record is from RNAcentral.